AUUGAACGCUGGCGGCAUGCUUUACACAUGCAAGUCGAACGGUAACAGGGUGCUUGCACCGCCGACGAGUGGCGAACGGGUGAGUAAUGCGUCGGAACGUGCCGAGUAGUGGGGGAUAACGCAGCGAAAGUUGUGCUAAUACCGCAUACGUACUGAGGUAGAAAGUGGGGGACCUUCGGGCCUCACGCUAUUCGAGCGGCCGACGUCUGAUUAGCUAGUAGGUGAGGUAAAGGCUCACCUAGGCGACGAUCAGUAGCGGGUCUGAGAGGAUGAUCCGCCACACUGGGACUGAGACACGGCCCAGACUCCUACGGGAGGCGGCAGUGGGGAAUUUUGGACAAUGGGCGAAAGCCUGAUCCAGCCAUUCCGCGUGUCUGAAGAAGGCCUUCGGGUUGUAAAGGACUUUUGUCGGGGAGGAAAUCCCCAGCGUUAAUACCGCUGGGGGAUGACAGUACCUGAAGAAUAAGCACCGGCUAACUACGUGCCAGCCGCCGCAGUAA
RNAcentral lists this ribosomal RNA (500 nucleotides) under uncultured bacterium. RNAcentral's name for it is "partial 16S ribosomal RNA". It matches the Rfam family "Bacterial small subunit ribosomal RNA", at positions 30 to 523 of the family's 1533-position model. The record is from RNAcentral.